RNAcentral lists this long non-coding RNA (1798 nucleotides) under Cricetulus griseus (Chinese hamster). RNAcentral describes it as "lncRNA (ENSCGRG00015004005.2)". The record is from RNAcentral. Lineage: Eukaryota; Metazoa; Chordata; Mammalia; Rodentia; Cricetidae.
CACAACUUGAAUCUACUGGUCAGAGGACUCCAGAAAGUAUUCCUAUCAAUCAACAGCUUGAGCUUCCCAGCCUGAAGAAGAUUCCUGAUCAACUACAGACUGUCAACUGCUCCAAAACCACAUGCCAACCCCUGAUCAUCCUUCAGAACCAGCAACUUGAUGAAAGCCAGUAAAACUGAAAUGCUUUUGGUGAAUUUCCACCAGCCUGAGCCUCUCUUUGGACCAGAAUUCCAGACUUCUCCAAAGUGGUCUGCACUUUGCUAGUCCCAGCAGGGCCUCCUGGGAUGGUGUCCUGCUGGGCACAGGGCUGUUUCCAGUUGGUGGUAAGAAAGGAUCUCAGAGCUUUAUCUGUGUUCCAACUGCUGUCCCUAUCUGCUACUGACCCAAGGAGAGCCAUCCAUUCACCCAGCAGUCCAGCCACCAGUGCCCUAUGCUGAUGGUAAGAGCAGGGAGCACUAGAAAUGAAUGCGAGCAGAAUGCAACUGGAGAUGGCUUUAAAUAAUGCAGAGCCAUUUUCUCUGUUGCACCCGGAGAGCUGAGGUCUACAUGCAAGGGAGAAGAAGCAUGGUCCUCAGGCAGUGGAUCUGCUAGUGCUCUGGUGAGACACAUGAAUCCCCUCUAAUGCUAUGGAUGACAGCCAUGAUGGGAUGUGGCAAUUGACAACAUCCCAGAGUAGGCAUCUGGGUGAUGAAGCUUAAGGUCAUCUGAAGAAUCCUGGCCCUCUUGCCUCUAGUCACGGUGGCUGGAGGGAGUAGCUAUUAGCUCCGCAGUCUGUGUAUACCCAGCUGUAUCAAGCACUACUCUGAUCCAGGACUUCGCAAAGUCAACAGGUCUACUGGACAACAUGAACAACACCCUCCAUUCCAACUUUCACAUCUGAAAGAGGUGGAAAGGAACUGAGGGCUGAGCAGCCGGAACCCGCCUCUGUAUGUUUGCCAUCAGGGUCUGAGGCAGAGUUCUGUGGAGGAGCUCUGUAUUCCCUUUCUGCCCCACUCUCCUCCAAUGCCUCACUGGGUCAAGCCAAGGAAUUUUAGGUGGGAGAGCCACACAGCACAGGGCAUCCAGAAUGUGGGAGCAGCUACAGAGAGCCCAUCAGAGGACCCUGGAAGGUUCAGGGACUUAUGCACAACCUCUGACCAAAUGCAAGCUAAACAAAAUUGCUCUGUCCCAGAGUAAACCUAGGGCAACUCAAGGAAGCCAGGUGCAAAGAGUCACUCUUGGUUGCCUGGGAACACCUUUUCAUGAAGGACAACCAGGAGCUGUUAAUCCUGGCAGAAGACAGGGAAUGACCACAAACUCACACACCACGUAGGCAGGAUCUAGGCUAUACUCAAGGGCCCUGUGUUAAAUAGAAAAUGGAAUUGGCUGAGAGUGUAUGCUAUUUGGAGCUGGCAGUAGUCCUGCAAUCCUAGCUACUCAGUGGGCAACUUAUUGGACAAUUUAGUGAGAUCAAUAAAAAGGAAGAAAAUGGGGUUGGGAAUAUAGCUUAGUGUCUGUGAGGUUCUAGGUUCAAUUCCCAGUGCUGAGAAGGAAGGGAAGGAGGGAAAGAGCAGAAAGACCAAGCUUGGCUUGGCUUGGCGUGGGUUACUUGGCACUUUUGGCCUCUGGCCCAUUUUAUCCUGCUAUGCAUCUUCUGAUGUAUGCAGUGCAUGUGAGAUCCAUUUAUUCCACUAGUUACUGAGCACUGUCUGGACACUGCACACUGUUCUAGGCUCUAGGGGUACAACACCGAACAAGAUAAACAGGAUCUUCACCUUGGCCUUCAUGUUCUGGUUAAGAGAAGCAGAUAUUAAACAAG